This 462-nucleotide ribosomal RNA is filed under the name uncultured Pedomicrobium sp. RNAcentral describes it as "bacterial SSU rRNA". It matches the Rfam family "Bacterial small subunit ribosomal RNA", at positions 920 to 1382 of the family's 1533-position model. The record is from RNAcentral. Lineage: Bacteria; Pseudomonadati; Pseudomonadota; Alphaproteobacteria; Hyphomicrobiales; Hyphomicrobiaceae.
CCCGGCACAAGCGGUGGAGCAUGUGGUUUAAUUCGACGCAACGCGAAGAACCUUACCAAGCCUUGACAUGUCCGGACAGGCCUCAGAAAAGGGGUCCUCCUAGCAAUAGGUCGGAACACAGGUGCUGCAUGGCUGUCGUCAGCUCGUGUCGUGAGAUGUUGGGUUAAGUCCCGCAACGAGCGCAACCCUCGCCAUUAGUUGCCAUCAUUCAGUUGGGCACUCUAGUGGGACUGCCGGUGAUAAGCCGGAGGAAGGUGGGAUGACGUCAAGUCAUCAUGGCCCUUACGGUUUGGGCUACACACGUGCUACAAUGGCGGUGACAGUGGGCAGCCGCUCAGUAAUGAGGAGCUAAUCCCAAAAAGCCGUCUCAGUUCGGAUUGAGCUCUGCAACUCGAGCUCAUGAAGUCGGAAUCGCUAGUAAUCGCGGAUCAGCACGCCGCGGUGAAUACGUUCCCGGGCCCU